GACGUAGGGUGCAAGCGUCGUCCGGAUUUACUGGGCGUAAAGAGCGCGUAGGCGGCUCGUUAAGUGAGAAGUGAAAGCUGUGGGCUCGACCCACAAACCGCUUUUCAUACUGGCGAGCUGGAGUGAUGCAGAGGUGGAUAGAAUUCCCGGUGUAGCGGUGAAAUGCGUUGAUAUCGGGAGGAAUACCCGUGGCGAAGGCGGUCCACUGGGCAUCAACUGACGCUGAGGCGCGAAAGCGUGGGUAGCAAACAGG
RNAcentral lists this ribosomal RNA (253 nucleotides) under uncultured bacterium. Its description in RNAcentral is "partial 16S ribosomal RNA". It matches the Rfam family "Bacterial small subunit ribosomal RNA", at positions 524 to 776 of the family's 1533-position model. The record is from RNAcentral.